This is a long non-coding RNA of Columba livia (rock pigeon), 10511 nucleotides long. RefSeq lists it as uncharacterized. The transcript has 3 exons. The record is from RefSeq and is a predicted model, not a curated record. NCBI's taxonomy places the organism in Eukaryota, Metazoa, Chordata, Aves, Columbiformes, Columbidae.
UAGAAAAAAUGAUAGUACCUAAUAUUGUGACUAACUUGCUGAUCAUCAUAUUGUAUUAUAUCUUUUCCUCUCAUUGGGCAAUUUCUUAAGACUCAUGUGGCAGAAGAAAGAAGGUUAAUUUGGCAACCAGGCAGAGCAGAAGCUACAUCAGGAAGAUGGGGCAGCAUGAGAAGAUUUUCACAGGGGUAAGGGUCUGUAGAGCAAGAUACAGCAACACUCUGUAAGUAAAGAUCAGAAAGGCAUAACUCUGGUUGGUUAUCACAACCAUGACAAUCACCAAGGUCACAUGUGACAAGAACAACUGCUGCCCUUGAUACUUACAAUCUGACACUCAUCAGGAGGUUUAUGACCUCUUUGAGAGGAAGACCGUAUAAUUUGGUGAGAGUAACACUGAGCUCAGGUUGACACAGAUAUGAUAGGAGUUGGAAAAUGACCCUCUGGGCUUAGUGCCACAUAAAUGUGGUCAGAGAACUGGAAGGGGAAGCUCAGUACCAGGCUAUUGGACUUUGAGGAACAUAAUGACAUGGUUGAAAACCUGUGUUCUGUUUGGAAAAGUGUGAGGAAAAAGAGAUAUAAUGAAAAAUAUCAUCAUUUUGUGAAAUCUGAUUUCUUCUUCUUCCUUAAACACUUUUGGUCCACUCAAACUAGAGUUUUAUAAAAUGACAACAACAGAAAAAGACAAUGUAUUUUAAUUAAAAAAAAAAAAAAAAAAAUGAAAGCCACCGCCUUUCACAAAUUUAGAGGGAAAACAUAAUUUUGGGAUUUUGGGGAAGAUUGUACUCGAACACAAUCAUGCUGAACAGCCAGCCCUGGGAGAGAGAUACUGCACAGGUCUCAAACAGCUAAUCCUGUAAUGAAAGAGAGCAAAAGAGCAGAGCUGGAAUAGCUGGCUCCAGCUACAUAUGAAGCAUGACACUAAUGGUAGAGAGUGUCUCUCAUUGGCCAGCCUGGAUGUCAAUCUAGAUGCUGACCUGUUAUUCUCCCUCCUAGCUUCUAUGUGCACCUGCAGCUAAAAAACUGAAAAAAUCCUUUUUCUCCUUGACAACAGUCAAACAUCAUCCUCACAUUCUUUUCAUACCAAGUCCAAAACACAGCCUAGCUACUGGGAAGAAAAAAAUUAACUCUGUCCCAGGGACAAGCAUGUGAAGUUCAGUGUGUUAUCACAUUAUUUUCAUCUUAAAUCCAAACUAAAAGACCCUGCUAGCUACUAAAGAGAAAAGAUUCUAACUGUAUGAAGAAAAUUAACUCAAUCACAGAAAAAACAGCACAAUUAUUUAGUGUCUGUUUUAGAUGGCAAUGGACAAUUUAAGCUCACAAAUCCCUGCUUGUCUGCAAAAACUACCACUGAAUUUAAUGUAAAAAGGCAAGACCUUACUUAUGUUAUAAGAUGCUAUGAAUGAUUUCUGACAUUUAGAAGAUGUAUUUUCAAGUAAAAGAACAAUAAGAAGCAUGGCUAAUCUUUCACUGCUUAAAGAAGUGAUUUAUUUCUUAAAAUUGUUAGAAAAUGCAUCAGAAUAAUUUUAUUCAUUUGCUUUUGAAAUGAAAUGUAGAUCCCUAGGGCAAGUACUGUCUUCCAGUGACGUAUGUAUAAAACUUGGUCCUUGACUGAAAUUUCUAGGUACUGCUGCACUGCAAUUUAUAAACAUCUGCAAUAAAAUGCCUCUUGCAGAAUGUGUUUGAAUCUGAUUCAAGAAUGAAUAAGUCACUUCUAAAGAUUCUGGCAAAUAAUUUCCAGUUGUCUCUUGUACACAUGCUGAGCUACCAGUAAUCUGCUAAUUAAUCUUAAAAUUAACACAGUCUGCAGCCCGCAGGAAAGCAUGCAGCAAGUCUUCAGUCAUAUGCAAUCUUCAACUCAGACCUUUAAUAAAUAUACUGAGAUGGUCAUUUAAUAAAGGCUUUCAUCAGAGGUUUGAUGUUUUUUGCUCUGCACUAAACUGCAGAAAGAACUUAUGAAUAAGAAAACUAAAUUGCAUAUGAUAGUCUGCGAAUCAAAUAUAGCUGAUUACGCCAGCUCCAAGUAUCUGGAAUAGGUGUGUGAGAGAAUAUCCCUUGUCAAAGAGCUUUAUACUCCCUUUACAGCUCCUUGAAGAAGAUGAACCUGUAUUUCUGAAGGAACUUUUUGAGAUUAUUUUGAACCUCUGUCUUAUGCCAGAAAUUAACUUUAAAAAAACCUGCUGAUGAGACUGCAGAUCAUCCUCUGCUUAGAAUGACUCAAACACAUAUAUUCAAGGGGGAAAAACAAAUAGCUUUUUUUCAUGAGCCAGGGGAAACAGGAGGCUUCAAGAUCACAAAGAGACUACUAUGUUACCCUGGGCUACAGCGUGGAGUGGAGUGCCUAAAAGGAAUAUAACACGUUAGGCCUGUAUGAACUGACAUGCCACAAUCUCAGUGACUUUGUUCUUGUGAUGUCUGAACUGGCUGAUCCAGUUUUGAAGAGCUUUGUAUGACACUUCAUGUCAUACUGACAUUCCUGUUGGGAUAUACAGGUCAUAUCCUCACACUAUGGCUCCCUUCCCUCUUCCCUUAGUCUCACUUCAAAAGUGUUCCUACUUAGUUUGGGGCUGCAGGACCACAUUUAGGGCAAGAGGCACAUGGUGCUGAAGUUCUGCUGAUCUAAACCCACCCAGACCUUUUAUAUACAGUUGUGAAAAAUCAGACCGAUUCACUGCGUAUGCAUUCUCUCAGCGUUUCAGCAUGUUAACCUUUUCUCUUGGUGAUGUUGGGUAAUUUAAAGGAAAAAACAGUAGUAAUUAUUUUAUAUAUUAGGAAUUCAAAAACUUGUGUAUGAUAUCUGCCAUGUUUGUAUCGUGGGUCUGUCUCAACCAGUAGGCACUAUUUCAAUCAAAACAUUUUGUGAACAAAGUCAAUUUUUGGCACAGCUUCAACUAUUUAGCUAGCUGGAACUUAAAUACUCUAUUUUUACAGCUAUUUGAAAAUGGAUUUAUGGGUUUGCAGUAAGUCCAUUUUUGCUGUAUUAACACUGUUUGAAAAGACAUCUUUCAAAUCUAAGGUCACAGUUUCAGCUAGUCAUGAACAAUGCAUCAUUUUCAACUCUGUUAUUAGUAUUUAUAAUUUUACAGGAGCAGCAGUCUAAAAUAUAAACUGUGGCUGUGUUAUUAUGGCAGUAAUCAUUUGACCAACACUGAUCUUUUGGAAGUCUUGUAAUUAUUUUUUUUCCCCUCAAUCUAUGAUUACCUAAAGGAUUUCAGGUUUUUCUAAAGUACAGUUUAAAAUUUAUUAUAUUUGAUUUUUUUCCCUAUUAAGCCACAAAUCAGAAGUUUUUAAUCAGUUGUGCCAGUGUUCAGUGUAGAAUAAAACCUGGCAUUAUAAACACUGAAUGUACUUUUGUUAGAGGAAGCAGACCUUUCAAGCUUUCAUUCUUCAAAGUAUGUGCUUGUCAAAAUCAGAAAAAAGAGGGGAGGGAAAUGACAUAUUGUAUGGUAACAAACAAACAAAUAAAACACAAAGGAUUUUUCUUUUCAAACCUGGCAUGUACUCCAAAAUAGUUCUUGCCAUGGGAACACUUGAUUAAUCUCAGCAGCUUCCACUUUUCCCAGUUGGGUACGGUCCUGUCAAGUCUCAUAAUUGCAAAUGCAAAGCUGUUUUACAUACAAUAAUGGAUGAUUUGGUGUUCCUGCUCAUUUUGCCAAGCUGCAGAAGUGUAUUCUCAAGUAUAUGAGCAUGUCACUGGAGAGUGUAUUUACGCAAGGGAAAAUGUGCCCCAAAGUAAUUUACAAUCAGCCCUGUUCUAGCAAAAUAGAAGGAACAUGUUGUCCUCCCUGGAGCACUGUGACGCAGUGUCAGUGGUAUAAAAUUAGACAUGGCUGAGACUGGUUCAUUUGAAUGGUUGUAUGAUGGACACCUGGUUUUGAGUCCUGCACUGGGUUUGUGGCUUCCUUUGUGUGCGAAAGGACUCAAGCCUGUCACAUGCAUUUACGUGGGUCAGUAGGGCCAGGUUCUGCAGAUCUCUGCCUUAAAGCAGUAGGAGAUUCAUGGCUUCAGUAUAUGUUGAAUAUGGAUACAAGAGAGACACAGAGGGUGGGGAAAGAGAGAGAGGGGGAAAGAUAGAGAAAAAUUGCUCUAAUACCUCCAGCCUUCAGCAGGGAAGAUGGUGAUCUCUGUGGUCAGUCUCCCUGUGGUCAGUCUUCCAACAUUUUAGGAGUCACCUUUCUGAAUUCUUAUAUAUAGUGAGGUCCUGGAUGGGAAACCAAACUAUAAAUGGAUAAUUAUAUGCAGAACAAUGUGUGUAUGCAUAUACAACAUUUUAAUGCUACUUGUAUAUAGACUAUCUAUUUAAAUUUUUUAUAUACACUUAUAAAAUAUGAGAGCCUUAUGUUAGAGGAUUCUUCCAUUACUGCAGCUAUUGCAAAUCAGUGCAAUGCUACAGAAUAGCAGGAUAAUUAAAGUACUAAUUGCAGGGCUAAUCUCUCUCUGCCUGUUGGAGUGCAGUCUUGAUGCCUGACCGUGGAUAACAGUAUGGAAAACAUUUGGAGUAUCAGAGCUGACUUCGCUACUUCGAUCUUAGGUCUUUAGUUGCAAUGAAAAGAUUAAUUGCAUAGCAAAAUAUACCGGGAACUCUCAAGUAUGCCUAGUUACACUUUUCUAUAAUGCAAGAACCAGGGACUUUCAGUUUUUAUAAUUAAGAGGUACUUACAAAGGUAGAAGGAAAUAUUGUUACAUAUGUGCUGGGACUGGCCUUAGAAACUGGAGCUGAAGAGAUCCCUAAUUGGUGGUGCUUUCCAAAUUUUCAUUAUGCAGGCUAAACUUUCUGAGGCAGGUGCAGACUUGAAUGAUUAUUGUUUUUUCUACCUAGCAUCCCCAAUAGUGUUUGUACGCAUCUCAAUGUGAUCUUUAACAGUGCAGUUACACACUCUGUUCUUCAACUCACAUUUUUGAGGCACAGGAUUUUGAGGGUGGAGAGGGGGAGGAGGAAGGGAACAGGGUCUGGCUGCCCUUCACCUGCUGCAGCACUGACAUUGGUGGUGCUCCCAGCCUUGUCCCGUGUCUUCUCCACAGAGCCAGGAAGAAGCGAUUGCUCUGCAGGGUCUUGCCAGUAGUGCCUGUUGUGCAGCCCACAGCCCAUCUUGGCAAUGUAAUUUCUUUCCAAUGGUCAUGAAAUCUUUUGGUUGAGCCUUCUUGCUCCUGGGCAAACUGGUGUCAGCAUCAGUGGUGUAGCCCAGAGAAUGAAGAACCACUGCAGAAGGACAACAAGGAGAGACACUACCUGGUGUAAACAAAUUUAUAAUUGUGAUUUGUUUAUACUUACUACCAAAAAGUGGUACAAUAACGUGUGGUCAACACUGAACAGCAGAACUUAUUAUUAGCCUGACUUCAAAGGAACAUUGGUCCUUAAAAACUGUGAAUUGACUGUUGCUAUGUUGAAAAAUACUGUGUGUAAGAUAUAGGGCAUAAAAAUCAUCAUUUGUAAUAAAAUGCGGUAAAAAAUAACAUAUGAAUAUGAAAUUAAAUGCAUUUUUUUCAAAAUAAUAAAAAGGUUUUUAUUGUCCUUAAGGUUUUUGCCCUUCAGUUUUUCACUUACUGACUUUUCACCAGCACAACAAUGUUUUGAGGCAAAAUGCUGGUUUUGCAGAGACAGUCUUUGCAUUCAUAAACUCCAACCCACAAAAAACACCUCUGAGACUUUGCAUUUCUACUUUGUAGAAAAACAGGUUUUGUUUUGCAUUUUUAAAACAAUGGUAAACAUUAAAAUGAAGCUGCUUUUUAGAAGGUGUGCCUUCAAUAUAGAUGUUUAGGGACAAUAUGGGCAUAAAAAUGGAAUUCUAUAGCCUGGUUUGGGGUGGUCUGGGUUCAUGAUGCAAGAGCUCUUCCUAAUUUUAUCUACAAAAUGAUGUAAUUGUUAUAAAAUCAUUGCCAGUCUCAAGUUCAUUUGAUUAGAUUAAUAGGGUUGAUUCUUAUCCUGCUGAUAGAAAAGUCCAUAGAAAAUUGGUCACUUCUUUUGAAUGAAAAAUGUGCUGAUCCAGUGUGUGAGAAAACAAAAGAGAAACCAGCUGAAGAAAAGCAAGACCAGCUACACUUGUCUAUCCAUUAGAAUGGGAACAGUUGUGGGGAAGAAGAGGACUAACACAGCUUCAUCUCCUGCCUCCCUGUUGUUCUGCGGAAUCUCUGUGGCCACUCCAGCUCUGAAAAGCAAAUGCAAAUAAGCUUUUUCUGCCAAACAACAGCUGGACGUGAACUUUGGAACCAUCCUGUUCUUCAAAUAUCUGUGCCUUGGGGAGUAUUUAGCAAGUACAGACUACAGGACAGGUCUAAAUUAGUUCCUCGUGUAUCAUGAUCUGUGUCCUCUAACUAGGUGGGACUAUAUUCUAUUCAGCUUUAAUGCCAACCUUUAAAACUACAUUAAUAACAAGGAUAGUGUGGAUUAAAAAAAAAAUUUCUUCCAGUAUUAUUAUGUAAUGUACUGUAAUAAAAUGAAUAGUGAUCCUCAAAAUUUUGCUGAGGUGACACCACAUGGAUAUUUACAGCAACACUCAAUGGAAGUCUAGCCUUCUUUGCACUUUCAUAUACCCAGAAGCCAUGGAUGUGAUGAGCAAAAUGUUGUUCAUCACCUGAUGGACAUUUAUUUGGCAUUGUGUUCCACAGAGACCCCAAACAUAUACUGCAGACACAUCAUGUAAGAGAAAUUUAUUUGGUGGAUACUCCUUUGUCCACAUGACAGGAAAAGGAGUACCAGAAAAAAUGAUAGUAAAGAUUGUUCUGUAGGCUGAACCUCAAUCCAUUCUGUUAGAAGUAAUUUGUGAACUUGUGACAUGAAGUAAUUUCAAAUCAUCAGGCUAUUUCUUAACUAUUACACUAUCUCUAACAGAUUUGAUUAGAACUGCUAUGCCAGAUUCAAAAGCUGAGCACUACAACUACUGGACGAAAAGCAGAAAACAACAAUCAGAAAGGCAGAGAGGGAAAGAGACAGUAGAGCAGAUGUUGAGAAAGAACUGGAAGGAAGGUAAUUAUUUCAUCCAAGAGCUCAAAGCCCUUGCAGGAGCACACCAGCCCUGAUGGAGGAGCCGCGAUGGCACUGCCAGCAUUGUCAGGAGACCAUCCCUCUGCAAGGAACUUGCUUUAGCCACAGGAGAUGGGCUCUUUUUUCUCAAGAGGAAAGAGUUGCAGACUACUAACCCAGUUUCACACUUAAGGAGUUUGGGCACCACUUGUUCAUGCCUGGUUUUAGUAAUAAUAAUAAUAAUAAUCAACAGCAGCAGGAGUGUGGUAAUAAUGAUAGCAUCUUUUUGCAAAUCUCUCAAAAAAUCAAGAUAGUUAAGAUUUGCGUAGGACUGAAUCAUGAAGUUCAAGCUAGUUCAUGUUCAAGGAGGGUAAUCCAUGUUUGACUCUUUCUUUCACAUAGUUUUUGAGUUGAAAAAGCAGUUUGUAAACUUAUUUCAGAAACAAACAUCAUAAAACAAUGUACAAAAUUCUGUUUGUUUGUUUUUUUCUUUGGCGAUCUGAACGUAUUUAUGCAACGACAGAGGCAGUCUACACAAAAGCUUUGACACCGCAAAUUUUAAGGAAAAUAUGUUUGUCUAGCUUUCACUUCUGAGUUAAUGUGCUGACAAAUAUCACUUUGCUUAAGAAGUUUUUUGCAUUGUUCUGGUUUAUGGUUGUGUGUAUUGGAAUAAUAUGUUUGUUUAUUUGUUUGUUUUAUUAUCCUCUUAGUUACCAGGAAGCUUAAUUAAACAGAAAAAAAGACAAUUAAAAUAAAGCAAGUCUGGACUUGAUAGGCCAUAUGUAGUGAUGCUGGGAAGAAGAGGAUAAAUUGCAGCUCUUUCCCAGCACAGGGCUCUGAGGAAGGCUACAUGGUGUUUCCACAAACAGCUCUCAUUAAAGCUUCCCCUUCUGAAGGCAGUGCCUGUUCCCAAACUGCGUUCUGUGUUCAGCCUGCCAAAUUAAUACAACAAACACAUCCGCUGCUCACAUCUGCCAUGGUCCUGGUGCCAAGUGGGGUAGGCAAGUGGAAGGAAUAUGGCUGAAGUCAUACACAUGCUUCAACUCCUAGAGGCAUGAGUCCUCAUAACAAGGCAACACGGAGAGAGCAGGUGUUCAUCUCUGUCCUUCCUGCUCAGCAUCUUCAGUCUCAGGCUUCCUUCCAGCCUGGACACGCCUGUCAUCAACCACAUACCCAGAGUCCUUUCAUGUACUCCAGGUCCUUUUCCCAAUCUUGCAAUAUUACCUUUGCCCAAGCCCUUUCAGUCUUCCCUGAGCCUUCCCAGUUGAAUUCCUCAUCCUUUUUACCAAAGUCCCACAUUCCAUUUUUCAUUGCUCCACGAGCAAUUUUUUGCCUCAUUUAUGGCAAAACUGAAGGCAAUAUUGAGUGAGGGCAAAACAGGAACUGGCAGAAGCAAAGGCGUUUGGUAAUUCUAAGUUAUCCUUGCAGAUAAACAGGCUGUUAACUGCUCACUUAGAUGGGUCUGUUGAAAUAGACCAGUAGGAACUCCCAUAGGAUAAACUUCUCUUUUGUGUUUCUAAUGUAUUUUAUCUGCCCUGGAAAAGUCUAAUGUAUUGCAGAUAUAGAUCUACCCCAGGCUUUUGUGUCAUCAGAUUUUCCAAAGACAACUGUCAGGUUUAAUCAGUUUUUUUACAGUACAAAACUUCCAAAGGAAAAGCCUGGCACUGUGAUUGUCAUGUGGCCCUUCCACAUGUGCCAGUCUGUAAACAGCCAGGCUCCUGAACCCAGGAGGCAACAAAGAAACAAACAAAAAACCCCAAUAAAACCAAUCCUUCAUAAGGAGAUAAGCAGAGACUGGUCUAUUGGGUCUGUGCCCUAUUUGAAGCGGUGGAUAAAACACACUCUGAUUAAAUUUGCCAUUAGUAUUGCCUUUUUUAUCAUAAAGAUUAUGAAGAAUAUCAUCAAGGCUUCUGAUUUUACUGACUUUUCCCUUCUACAACAUUCAGCUUUGCAAGAAGUCUCACUUCAUUCCCCCCAACUGUUCAGCUGUUGCAGGGCAGCAAUAGAAAAAGGAUAAUGGGGCAGAUAAUACGUUUCUCUCAGGAAAAUACAGUCAUAACCAUGAUUGAAAGUAAUGAGAUAUUGCACAUAGAUGCACAAGAGACAAUUAAUAUUCAGCCUUUCAAGCUAAUUGUAUAUUUUUUAAAUGGGACUAAUUUAAAGAAUAGCUUGACUUGAAUAUUAAAGAAAUUCCAAAACUUUUAUUCAAGUAAAAAAAAGGCUUAAAAAGACCCAGAGAAAUUUCAAAAUCCUUUAUUUUUCUGAGGGAAAAGUUUUGAAGAGCCUAAAGCCUACCUAUCUCUUUCACAGUCAGAGAGAUCUAAGUGCCAACAUUUCUUAGGCUUUUGAAGGUCUUCAUUAAAACUACAUAAGUAGGAACUAAUGAGCUGUCCCCCCACCUGCACUGCAGUUAGAAACAAUGUUGAAGUACAGCAUCCCUGUACCAAAACACUUCAGAGGUGGGAAGUUGUUUAAAAUCCUUUAGCUCAACUCAAUUGCUUGUGCCCAAAACCUUGGAGUAGGUGCAGUUAAUUUUUUUUCAUUAUACGGCCUGUAGUUCCAGGGAUCAGGCAGGAUUAUCAUAAUGAUUUUCUUGGACCUUAGUGUCCUUUAAUCCUGUCCGAAGCCCUCUGGUGCUUGACAUUUUCUUAUGAGGCUCUUUGCUUGCGCAGUGGUGUGUGCUCUCAGCAGAGACAGAGCUGUAGUGGUGCUCUUUAAAUAGAAGCACUUGCUUGCUUUGGCACAGAGCUGGUGGCUUAUGUCUUCUUUCGUCAGUCAUUUUGCCUCUCUAAACCUUAAGGCAGUUUUAUACAUGAAACAAUUAUAUGUGCUUGUUAUUUUAACUACUUUGUUGCCCAUGAUUUUAUUAUUGGGCAGAAAUAAAACUAAUGGCAACUGCUAGUAAGUGAGCAGGGCAGGACUGGAAUAGGAAGCUGGGAAAAAUCCCAGUCAGUCGAACAGUAACAGCAUUCAGAGAUAAGGUUUAUAGUCUGCCGGCUAUGGUUCUAUGGCAGCCUAACAACAGACUUAACAGUAAAAUGAGGGGAGAAAAAAUUAUGAACCCAUCAAUAAUGAGGGAAAUUCUUGAUGCAAAUGAACAUUUUUGUACUAACCAGUGAGGUUUCUGACUUCCAACACAAAAGUGUGUGCAAUGCCUGUUGUCAAACUCUUUCGCAGCCAUGCUGUGGCUGAUGCAGAUGGUAUUCUAAGAUUCGUGAUGACCAAGUGUUAAUAGUCCCUGCAUCAAGCUCAAAAUACUUUUUCUGUUGGGCUAGUAAGCAAAUCUUAGCUACAGAAAAAUGUUGUAGGUCAUAUAAACCUAAGUGAGGAUGAGCUGUGAAGAAACACUGAGUUUGUAUGUGUAAAUCUCAGGUGGCUGCCAACAAGAUUUACAUAAAAUAUUUAUAAUAUAUAAAGUUAUGUAUUUAUCACUUUAUUCCAUUUCUAAUUCCAGGCAUUUUUUUUCCCCUGCUGUAUUCUAGAAAAUCUUUUGAUUAUUGCUUGGUCAAUUAAAUAAACAAUAUAUAUAAAAAUAAAGGGUUUGUGGCUGGCUUAA